AACGAACGCUGGCGGCAUGCCUAACACAUGCAAGUCGGACGAGACCUUCGGGUCUAGUGGCGCACGGGUGCGUAACGCGUGGGAACCUGCCCUUAGGUUCGGAAUAACUCCCCGAAAGGGGUGCUAAUACCGGAUAAUGUCUUCGGACCAAAGAUUUAUCGCCUUUGGAUGGGCCCGCGUUGGAUUAGCUAGUUGGUAGGGUAAAAGCCUACCAAGGCGACGAUCCAUAGCUGGUCUGAGAGGAUGAUCAGCCACACUGGGACUGAGACACGGCCCAGACUCAUACGGGAGGCAGCAGUGGGGAAUAUUGGAAAAGGGGAGAAAGCCUGAUCCAGCAAUGCCGCGGGAGUGAUGAAGGCCUUAGGGUUGUAAAGCUCUUUUACCCGGGAUGAUAAUGACAGUACCGGGAGAAUAAGCUCGGGCUAACUCCGUG
Molecule: ribosomal RNA, 433 nt
Filed under: uncultured bacterium
Lineage: Bacteria
Description: partial 16S ribosomal RNA
Rfam family: Bacterial small subunit ribosomal RNA
Source: RNAcentral